AGAGUUUGAUCCUGGCUCAGAACGAACGCUGGCGGCAGGCUUAACACAUGCAAGUCGAACGCCCCGCAAGGGGAGUGGCAGACGGGUGAGUAACACGUGGGAACGUCCCCCUCGGUUCGGAAUAACUCAGGGAAACUUGAGCUAAUACCGGAUACGUCCGAGAGGAGAAAGAUUUAUCGCCGAGGGAUCGGCCCGCGUCUGAUUAGCUAGUUGGUGAGGUAAUGGCUCACCAAGGCGACGAUCAGUAGCUGGUCUGAGAGGAUGAUCAGCCACACUGGGACUGAGACACGGCCCAGACUCCUACGGGAGGCAGCAGUGGGGAAUAUUGGACAAUGGGCGAAAGCCUGAUCCAGCCAUGCCGCGUGAGUGAUGAAGGCCUUAGGGUUGUAAAGCUCUUUUACCAGGGAAGAUAAUGACGGUACCCACAGAAGAGCCCCGCUU
This 441-nucleotide ribosomal RNA is filed under the name uncultured Methylocapsa sp. RNAcentral describes it as "bacterial SSU rRNA". It matches the Rfam family "Bacterial small subunit ribosomal RNA", at positions 8 to 498 of the family's 1533-position model. The record is from RNAcentral. Lineage: Bacteria; Pseudomonadati; Pseudomonadota; Alphaproteobacteria; Hyphomicrobiales; Beijerinckiaceae.